UAGUCAUAUGCUUGUCUAAAAGAUUAAGCCAUGCAUGUCUAAGUAUAAACUGUUUAUACAAGUGAAACUGCGAAUGGCUCAUUAAAUCAGUUAUAAUUUAUUUGAUAGUACCCUUUUACUACUUGGAUAACCGUGGUAAUUCUAGAGCUAAUACAUGCCUUGAAAAGUCCUGACCUUUAUGGAAGGGAUGCAGUUAUUAGAUACAAAACCAACCCGGGCAACCGGUCCUUUGGUGAUUCAUGAUAACUUUGCGAAUCGCAUAGCUUUCAUGCUGGCG
This 277-nucleotide ribosomal RNA is filed under the name uncultured eukaryote. RNAcentral's name for it is "partial 18S ribosomal RNA". It matches the Rfam family "Eukaryotic small subunit ribosomal RNA", at positions 21 to 289 of the family's 1831-position model. The record is from RNAcentral.